Molecule: ribosomal RNA, 471 nt
Filed under: uncultured bacterium
Lineage: Bacteria
Description: partial 16S ribosomal RNA
Rfam family: Bacterial small subunit ribosomal RNA
Source: RNAcentral
GACGAACGCUGGCGGCGUGCUUAAUACAUGCAAGUCGAACGAACAAGCCUAGCUCGUUCGGUGGAUUCGUUGCCAACGGGCGAGUAAUACGCAAGUAACCAACCUAUCUCUCUGGCUUAAGUCACGGCAACUGGCCCUAAUACCGGCCACGUCCAAUCUCCGACCGCGUGGUUCGAUGAUAACGUUCUGUAGUGGUUUUAGUUAGGCUUACAGCCUAUCAGCUUGUUCGUGAUGUAACGGUUAACCAUGGCGACGGCGGGUAGCCGGCCUGGGAAUGUGAGCAGCCUCACUAGGACUAAGACACGGCCCAGUCUCGUACGGGAAGCAGCAGGGGGGAAUUUUGCACAGUAGGGGCAAGCGUGAUGCGACGACGCCGCGUGAGGGAUAACGGCCUUCGAGUUAUAAACCUCUGUUAGCGGAGAAAAAGAGAUAUUGACGGUACCUGCAGAGAAAGCGCCGGCUAACUACGUG